UAGUCUGCGGUUAAGGGGAGGCGGCGGUUGCGACCUCAGGGCCAUGCCUAGGCUGAACCGGACGAUUUGCGCGUUCUUCACUCCCCCGCCGGGAUCUGCAGUUUCAGCGGUGCCGCCGACGCCACCGUAGCCCGAAUCGCCGGUUCUGAAGCUCUCAGCAGGUGAAAGAAGUCAACUCUAUGCUGACUGCAAGUCCAUAAACCCCAGUUGGGUAGGAACCAGAAAGUUGAUGACACUAACUCCAACUACCUCACCACCCACCAAUCAGGAAGGUGUUCAUAAGCUGACCACGCCCUGCUCCUCAAACACUAUAAGACUCCUCACUACCCCCUCAAAGGGGGCCGCAGUCCUUAAGGCACUAGCCUGCCACGAUCCCUUUUACUGACAAUUAAAGCUGUUUUUUCUGUU
Long non-coding RNA from Phacochoerus africanus (Common warthog), 408 nucleotides. RefSeq lists it as uncharacterized. Lineage: Eukaryota; Metazoa; Chordata; Mammalia; Artiodactyla; Suidae. The transcript has 2 exons. The record is from RefSeq and is a predicted model, not a curated record.